GACGAACGCUGGCGGCGUGCUUAACACAUGCAAGUCGAACGGAAAGGCCCUGCUUUUGUGGGGUGCUCGAGUGGCGAACGGGUGAGUAACAAGUGAGUAACCUGCCCUUGACUUUGGGAUAACUUCAGGAAACUGGGGCUAAUACCGGAUAGGAGCUCCUGCUGCAUGGUGGGGGUUGGAAAGUUUCGGCGGUUGGGGAUGGACUCGCGGCUUAUCAGCUUGUUGGUGGGGUAGUGGCUUACCAAGGCUUUGACGGGUAGCCGGCCUGAGAGGGUGACCGGCGACAUUGGGACUGCGAUACGGCCCAGACUCCUACGGGAGGCAGCAGUGGGGAAUAUUGCACAAUGGGCGGAAGCCUGAUGCAGCAACGCCGCGUGCGGGAUGACGGCCUUCGGGUUGUAAACCGCUUUCGCCUGUGACGAAGCGUGAGUGACGGUAAUGGGUAAAGAAGCACCGGCUAACUACGUG
Molecule: ribosomal RNA, 468 nt
Filed under: uncultured bacterium
Lineage: Bacteria
Description: partial 16S ribosomal RNA
Rfam family: Bacterial small subunit ribosomal RNA
Source: RNAcentral